GAAAAAGAACAAGAGCGCUCCCGCGGUUGUGGCUUGUCCUCUGUAAUAGAAGAAGACUAAAAUAACCGAGUCUGGGAUGGGGAGGAGGGAAAUUGCCAGCGCAGCCCUGCAUUCUCUCAUCAACGAUUAUAGUUAAUUGCUAAUUGCACAAAAUGAUAGUUUGAGGGCCUGUAAUUAAAAGCUUAACCUUUUUCUGGUUGGAGGAAGGGGACCCCGGUAGAUUUAUUCUCGGUAUACUUUGUAACGUUCAAUUACGAGCAUUGUGGAGGGAAAAAAGGAAGUAAAGUCAACCUUCUCGAAAGGAUAGAUCGGGGGAGGUGGGUGCCGGGCAGGACCUAAGUCUAGGAUUUGUUCUUAUUGAACUUCAGUUUUCUUGAACACAUCGCCCUGGUUGAGAGGCCUUCUGUGCUCUGGUCUAAGCAGAGUAGAGGGAUACAUUGAAUUAUUUCACCUGCUAAUGUGAUGUGUAUACACUUCGGUUUUAUAAGUUGCUGUACCUCGAAUGAAUCCAAGUUGACAGAUUUCAGAUUCCAUGUCCGAGCUUUCUUCAGGCGUUGUAAGGUCCCUGCCUUGGUUCUCCUGAGCAGUUCUCAGUGGCAGACUACUGGGAGAGAGGUUUAUUUGGGAACUUCCUGUACCCAGGAGGCCCUGGGGGUAGUUCUCAGCCAGGACACAUUUUUUGGUCCGUGUAAUUUAGCCUCAUUGUGAUUGAUAAGCUCACACGGAGAUGGGAUCCUUCAAAGCUGCUCAGCAUGGAUGCUGCUGUGUAUAAUCGGAGGGUAGAGGACGUCUGAAAACUGCAUGGGAAACACCAUCCAUGCCAUUUUACAACGCAGGUGCUCACAGCUAGUACCCAAACACAGACCAAGUUUGCGGGGGUUGGUCUAACUUUCAUAUCUCUGGGGCUUGAGAAGCUCAUAACCACUUUACAGCUGGUGGAGAGGGAAGGGGACAUAGGUGAAGUCAAUAUGAACAGACUCAGUACUUAACUGAGACGUCACAUGCUUGUUUUUAAUUUACUUUAGAGAGAAAUGUACACUACAAGGGAAACGUUGAUAUGGUACAAUAAGACUUAUCUUUGACAAACAUGUAUUAUGCUUUCUAGCAUAAAUAAACUGUUGGUAAGCC
This 1128-nucleotide long non-coding RNA is filed under the name Rattus norvegicus (Norway rat). RNAcentral's name for it is "long non-coding RNA NONRATT003679". Lineage: Eukaryota; Metazoa; Chordata; Mammalia; Rodentia; Muridae. The record is from RNAcentral.